This 481-nucleotide ribosomal RNA is filed under the name uncultured bacterium. Its description in RNAcentral is "bacterial SSU rRNA". It matches the Rfam family "Bacterial small subunit ribosomal RNA", at positions 30 to 506 of the family's 1533-position model. The record is from RNAcentral.
AUUGAACGCUGGCGGCAUGCUUUACACAUGCAAGUCGAACGGUAACAGGUCUUCGGAUGCUGACGAGUGGCGAACGGGUGAGUAAUGCAUCGGAACGUGCCCAGUCGUGGGGGAUAACGCAGCGAAAGCUGUGCUAAUACCGCAUACGAUCUAUGGAUGAAAGCGGGGGAUCGCAAGACCUCGCGCGAUUGGAGCGGCCGAUGUCAGAUUAGCUAGUUGGUGGGGUAAAGGCCCACCAAGGCGACGAUCUGUAGCUGGUCUGAGAGGACGACCAGCCACACUGGGACUGAGACACGGCCCAGACUCCUACGGGAGGCAGCAGUGGGGAAUUUUGGACAAUGGGCGCAAGCCUGAUCCAGCAAUGCCGCGUGCAGGAAGAAGGCCUUCGGGUUGUAAACUGCUUUGUACGGUAACGAAAAGGUACUGGGUUAAUACCUGGGCUCAUGACGGUACCGUAAGAAUAAGCACCGGCUAACUACGU